GACGAACGCUGGCGGCGUGCUUAACACAUGCAAGUCGAGCGGUAAGGCCCUUUCGGGGGUACACGAGCGGCGAACGGGUGAGUAACACGUGGGUGACCUGCCCUUAGCUCUGGGAUAAGCCUGGGAAACUGGGUCUAAUACCGGAUAUGACUCCAUAACGCAUGUUGUGGGGUGGAAAGCCUUGUGCGGCUAGGGAUGGGCCCGCGGCCUAUCAGCUUGUUGGUGGGGU
RNAcentral lists this ribosomal RNA (229 nucleotides) under uncultured bacterium. Its description in RNAcentral is "partial 16S ribosomal RNA". It matches the Rfam family "Bacterial small subunit ribosomal RNA", at positions 28 to 258 of the family's 1533-position model. The record is from RNAcentral.